UACGGAGGGUGCAAGCGUUAUCCGGAUUCACUGGGUUUAAAAGGAGCGUAGGUGAGUUGGUAAGUCAGUGGUGAAAUCUCCGAGCUUAACUUGGAAACUGCCAUUGAUACUAUCAGUCUUGAAUAUUGUGAAGGUCAGCGGAAUAUGUCAUGUAGCGGUGAAAUGCUUAAAUAUGACAUAGAACACCAAUUGCGAAGGCAGCUGACUACGCAUAUAUUGACACUGAGGCUCGAAAGCGUGGGGAUCAAACAGG
Molecule: ribosomal RNA, 253 nt
Filed under: uncultured bacterium
Lineage: Bacteria
Description: partial 16S ribosomal RNA
Rfam family: Bacterial small subunit ribosomal RNA
Source: RNAcentral